UAGCCAAUGCAAAUGUAUAGGCUUUUUAUUGUUAUGCAUUAUUUGAGCAAUAGUGAAAAUGAAACUGAGAUAUCAAAUCUAUGAUUUUGCAGAUAUUGAUGUUUAGGACUACACUACACAUUAAUUACAGUGCUCAUGUUUAUAAAUUUUUAGUAACUUUGACUCCACCAUUAAAUUGGAUUAGAAAUAUAAGUUGCAGAGUUUUCUAAAGCCUGAGUUUUACUGUUUCUAUCCUUCUGGUGUCACUUAACAUGUUCCUCUGUCCAGUGUAUUUCCUGUAAGGUGUCAUUUAACAUGUUCCUCUGUCCAGUGUAUUUCCUGUAAGUUGUAGUUAGAAUUAAGAACAGCACCAUACAAUAGAAAUAUGAGCCACAAAUAUAAUUUAAAAUUUUAAAAUACACAUUUAAA
This 408-nucleotide long non-coding RNA is filed under the name Homo sapiens (human). RNAcentral's name for it is "HSALNT0392608". Lineage: Eukaryota; Metazoa; Chordata; Mammalia; Primates; Hominidae. The record is from RNAcentral.